RNAcentral lists this transfer RNA (76 nucleotides) under Opitutus sp. ER46. RNAcentral's name for it is "tRNA-Arg". It matches the Rfam family "tRNA". From Rfam's summary of the family: Transfer RNA (tRNA) molecules are approximately 80 nucleotides in length. Their secondary structure includes four short double-helical elements and three loops (D, anti-codon, and T loops). Lineage: Bacteria; Pseudomonadati; Verrucomicrobiota; Opitutia; Opitutales; Opitutaceae. The record is from RNAcentral.
GUCCCCGUAGCUCAAGUGGAUAGAGCCCGCGUUUCCUAAACGUGUUAUCCGAGUUCGAGUCUCGGCGGGGGCACCA